GGAUUAGAUACCCUGGUAGUCCACACCGUAAACGAUGAAUGCCAGUCGUCGGGCAGUAUACUGUUCGGUGACACACCUAACGGAUUAAGCAUUCCGCCUGGGGAGUACGGCCGCAAGGUUAAAACUCAAAGAAAUUGACGGGGGCCCGCACAAGCGGUGGAGCAUGUGGUUUAAUUCGAAGCAACGCGCAGAACCUUACCAACCCUUGACAUCCUUGUCGCGGUUUCCAGAGAUGGAUUCCUUCAGUUCGGCUGGACAAGUGACAGGUGCUGCAUGGCUGUCGUCAGCUCGUGCUG
RNAcentral lists this ribosomal RNA (296 nucleotides) under uncultured bacterium. Its description in RNAcentral is "partial 16S ribosomal RNA". It matches the Rfam family "Bacterial small subunit ribosomal RNA", at positions 775 to 1067 of the family's 1533-position model. The record is from RNAcentral.